RNAcentral lists this ribosomal RNA (171 nucleotides) under uncultured bacterium. Its description in RNAcentral is "partial 16S ribosomal RNA". It matches the Rfam family "Bacterial small subunit ribosomal RNA", at positions 1322 to 1500 of the family's 1533-position model. The record is from RNAcentral.
GAAGCUGGAUUCGCUAGUAAUCGCGCAUCAGCCAUGGCGCGGUGAAUACGUUCCCGGGCCUUGUACACACCGCCCGUCAAGCCAUGGAAGCCGGGGGCGCUUGAAGUGCGUUGCCGCAAGGCGCGCCCUAGAGCGAAACCGGUGACCGGGGCUAAGUCGUAACAAGGUAGC